Molecule: long non-coding RNA, 1195 nt
Organism: Vicia villosa (hairy vetch)
Lineage: Eukaryota; Viridiplantae; Streptophyta; Magnoliopsida; Fabales; Fabaceae
Exons: 4
Source: RefSeq, a predicted model, not a curated record
UUAAUUACUUACAUUAAAUUUUUAUUUUAUUUAUUAAUUGAAGGAUAUGAAUGGAUUUUUGUGACCACACGGUUUUCAUUGCAAUUAGUUUUGAUCUAUGCCAAAAUUUUAAAUUAUGUAAAUAUAACAUUGAGAAAUGGAAAGUUAUUUGUAUUUUUCAUGUGAACCAUUCAUUUCUCUCUUGAUACAAUGCAUUGAACUCAAGAGGCAAGAGACAUACUCCUUAAAUCACCAAUUUCUUAAAUUCCCAUCUCCCCUCUUUGCUUCCUCUCUCACCAUUAAAACCAAACAACCCACACAAUCCACCUGCAACUGUAAUAAACAUUCUUCUUUGCUCACCAUCCGUAUGAAAAACCUUGAUACCACCUUGGAUCCAUAAUCUUUUCACGAUCUAAUCCCUCCAUAUUCUUUCUUCCUACCACUGUAUCUCACACCAACAAACUGCAAAAAACCUAACACACCCAUCACAAACCGCAUAAAAACACCUUAACACUACCUCCAAAAAAAGUGUAAACUCACUGCAAUAUAAACCUCAUCCUACAACCACGUACUCCCUCCGAUGUUCACUAUCCACAACUUCAACAAGCGAAGCCAACACCUGCCACCAUCACGUUCCGACGCAAAAGGCUAAUCUCUCGCUGCAUCGGACAAAUCUCCAUGGAAAACCACUCAAUAACAACCAAAGUAAACCCAAUCCACCAUCACCCGUUUCGCCGUCGGUAACUUAUUUAAUCUAUUUUCUGAUGGAAUGUUUUACAAUUGCAGGACAGCUCCACCCUUGGAUCUUUCAAUGAGGAGGUUAGAUAUAAAAGCUUGACUCUCUUCUUUCCCCUCUACUGAAUCGAUUCAAGGUUGCAAAAGAUUAUUUCAUCUCAGUAGCUUAAAAGGUGGUCAUGGUCAAUUGGCUAGACAGGUGACGUUGUUGAUGGUGUUUUGCGAUUAUAUAGGGAACUGCAUAAAUGGAUGCGAUUUCAGCGCCGAGACCAGCUAACUUCUACAAAAGAUUGAAUUCUAUUUCUGGCAAGAGGCAAGAGAUAGUUCUAUUGGAUAAUGAUGGAAGAAAUAAAUUCGGGUUUAAGAGAGAUAGAAGAGCAAAUUGCCUCAAAGUCUUAUUAAAACUUAACACAUAUCACCUCAUCUCACAUCAUAAGUACUAUAAAUAUAUAUUUUUACUAUAAUUUAUAUCAUGUUAUAA